UGGGGAAUAUUGCACAAUGGGCGCAAGCCUGAUGCAGCCAUGCCGCGUGUAUGAAGAAGGCCUUCGGGUUGUAAAGUACUUUCAGCGGGGAGGAAGGGAGUAAAGUUAAUACCUUUGCUCAUUGACGUUACCCGCAGAAGAAGCACCGGCUAACUCCGUGCCAGCAGCCGCGGUAAUACGGAGGGUGCAAGCGUUAAUCGGAAUUACUGGGCGUAAAGCGCACGCAGGCGGUUUGUUAAGUCAGAUGUGAAAUCCCCGGGCUCAACCUGGCAACUGCAUCUGAUACUGGCGAGCUUGAGUCUCGUAGAGGGGGGUAGAAUUCCAGGUGUAGCAGUGAAAUACGUAGAGAUCUGGAGGAAUACCGGUGGCGAAGGCGGCCCCCUGGACAAAGACUGACGCUCAGGUGCGAAAGAGUGGGGAGCAAACAGG
This 429-nucleotide ribosomal RNA is filed under the name Chloroflexota bacterium. RNAcentral's name for it is "Chloroflexi bacterium partial 16S ribosomal RNA". It matches the Rfam family "Bacterial small subunit ribosomal RNA", at positions 355 to 776 of the family's 1533-position model. The record is from RNAcentral. Lineage: Bacteria; Bacillati; Chloroflexota.